AUAUCAGUCAUGCAUAGCAUAUCAAUAAGCGGAGGAAAAGAAACUAACAAGGAUUCCCUUAGUAACGGCGAGUGAAGCGGGAAGAGCUCAAAUUUGAAAUCUUCAAGGUUUUACCUUGACGAAUUGUAGUUUAAAGAAGUGUUUUCUGUGAAGUUUUGGUAAAAGUUCUUUGGAAUAGGACAUCAUAGAGGGUGAGAAUCCCGUAUUUGACCAUUAUUUUCAGCUGUGUGAUACACUUUCAAAGAGUCGGAUUGUUUGGGAAUGCAGUCCAAAAUGGGUGGUAAAUUUCAUCUAAAGCUAAAUAUUGGCGAGAGACCGAUAGCGAACAAGUACCGUGAGGGAAAGACUGAAAAGAACUUUGAAAAGAGAGUUAAACAGUACGUGAAAUUGUCAAAAGGGAAGCGUUUGACACCAGUGUUGUUUUCUCGAAAAUCAAUUAAAAAAUGCUCGGAUUUUGUAGUUGUAUUGAGACCUUAAAAGCUCACUGUACAUUUUUCGUGUCUUUUUUAAUGCACUUUUCGUUUAACAAGUCAACAUCAGUUUCUUUUGUUGUAAAAGGGUCAUUGGAAGGUGGCUUUCUUUUCGGAGAAAGUGUUUAUAGCCUUUGAUCUCUGCAAUCGGAGAGACUGAGGUCUGCAGCGUAGAUCCCUCGGGGUUAGAUACAUUUGUGCUAAGUUAUAACUUUUCAUAGACAACUUGUUGACUAUGUUUUAGUCAUGUAGCUUACUCGCUUAUGCUAUUUUACCUACGCUUAGGAUGUUGAAGAUGUAGCACAUCAU
Molecule: ribosomal RNA, 779 nt
Filed under: uncultured Neocallimastigales
Lineage: Eukaryota; Fungi; Neocallimastigomycota; Neocallimastigomycetes; Neocallimastigales
Description: partial large subunit ribosomal RNA
Rfam family: Eukaryotic large subunit ribosomal RNA
Source: RNAcentral